UACGUAGGGUCCGAGCGUUAAUCGGAAUUACUGGGCGUAAAGGGCGGGUAGGCGGCCACCGCAAGUCAGUUGUGAAAUCUCUGGGCUUAACCCAGAAAGGUCAACUGAUACUGCGGGGCUAGAGUGCAGAAGGGGUAACUGGAAUUCUCGGUGUAGCGGUGAAAUGUGCAGAGAUCGGGAGGAACACCGGUGGCGAAGGCGGGUCUCUGGGCAUCUCCUGACGCUGAGGCGCGAAAGCGUGGGGAGCAAACGGG
RNAcentral lists this ribosomal RNA (254 nucleotides) under uncultured bacterium. RNAcentral's name for it is "partial 16S ribosomal RNA". It matches the Rfam family "Bacterial small subunit ribosomal RNA", at positions 524 to 776 of the family's 1533-position model. The record is from RNAcentral.